GCGGUCUGCUUACACAUGCAAGUCGAACGGAGUACUUCGGUACUUAGUGGCGGACGGGUGAGUAACGCGUGAGGAUCUGCCCUCAGGAGGGGGACAACGACUGGAAACGGUCGCUAAUACCCCAUAUGCCGAGAGGUGAAAUGUUUUUUCGCCUGAGGAUGAGCUCGCGUCAGAUUAGCUAGUUGGUGGGGUAACGGCCUACCAAGGCGACGAUCUGUAGCUGGUCUGAGAGGAUGAUCAGCCACACUGGGACUGAGACACGGCCCAGACUCCUACGGGAGGCAGCAGUGGGGAAUUUUCCGCAAUGGGCGAAAGCCUGACGGAGCAAGACCGCGUGAGGGAUGACGGUCUAUUGGUUGUAAACCUCUUUUGUCUGGGAAGA
Molecule: ribosomal RNA, 382 nt
Filed under: uncultured cyanobacterium
Lineage: Bacteria; Bacillati; Cyanobacteriota
Description: bacterial SSU rRNA
Rfam family: Bacterial small subunit ribosomal RNA
Source: RNAcentral